ACGACCUUAACUUGAACAGGAUCUGUUCAUAGGAUCGUACCUCUGUAUCCUUGAGUUCUAAGGAGACAGGAACCUAAGUAUGAAUCAUGACCUCAUGAUCAGAGCGUGAUUAAUGGCUUGUGAUAUACUGUUGACGUCGAUCAUCAAGCUGUGGAGGAUCGUUCUCAGCUCAUCAUCUGAUGGCUGAGAUGGUUUCAAAAUUUAUAACAUGGU
This 213-nucleotide small nucleolar RNA is filed under the name Macleaya cordata. RNAcentral describes it as "Plant small nucleolar RNA U3". It matches the Rfam family "Plant small nucleolar RNA U3". From Rfam's summary of the family: Small nucleolar RNAs (snoRNAs) are involved in the processing and modification of rRNA in the nucleolus. There are two main classes of snoRNAs: the box C/D class, and the box H/ACA class. The record is from Rfam by way of RNAcentral. Lineage: Eukaryota; Viridiplantae; Streptophyta; Magnoliopsida; Ranunculales; Papaveraceae.